CAUUCUUUGGAACAACCCCCACCCCAGAGU
This 30-nucleotide non-coding RNA is filed under the name Cricetulus griseus (Chinese hamster). Lineage: Eukaryota; Metazoa; Chordata; Mammalia; Rodentia; Cricetidae. The record is from RNAcentral.